Molecule: ribosomal RNA, 279 nt
Filed under: uncultured bacterium
Lineage: Bacteria
Description: partial 16S ribosomal RNA
Rfam family: Bacterial small subunit ribosomal RNA
Source: RNAcentral
UGCCAGCCGCCGCGGUAAUACGGAGGGGGUUAGCGCUGUUCGGAAUUACUGGGCGUAAAGCGUACGUAGGCGGAUUAAUAAGUCAGUGGUGAAAUCCCAUCGCUUAACGAUGGAACUGCCAUUGAAACUGUUAGUCUUGAAUUCGGUCGAAGUGGGCGGAAUGUCUCAUGUAGCGGUGAAAUGCAUAGAUAUGACACAGAACACCGAUAGCGAAGGCAGCUCACUAGGCCUGAAUUGACGCUCAGGGACGAAAGCGUGGGGAGCGAACAGGAUUAGAUA